CCAGCACCCCGAGUGGUCGGGACGAUUAUUGGGCCUAAAGCAUCCGUAGCCGGUUUUACAAGUCCUCCGUUAAAUCCAACUGCUUAACAGAUGGGCCGCGGAGGAUACUAUAAGACUAGGAGGCAGGAGAGGCAAGCGGUACUCAGUGGGUAGGGGUAAAAUCCGUUGAUCCAUUGAAGACCACCAGUGGCGAAGGCGGCUUGCCAGAAUGCGCUCGACGGUGAGGGAUGAAAGCUGGGGGAGCAAAACCGGAUUAGAUACCCGGGUAGUCCCAGCUGUAAACGAUGCAGACUCGGUGAUGGACUAGCUUUAUGCUAGUCCAGUGCCGCAGGGAAGCCGUUAAGUCCUGCCGCCUGGGUAGUACGGUCGCAAGACUG
Molecule: ribosomal RNA, 377 nt
Filed under: uncultured organism
Description: bacterial SSU rRNA
Rfam family: Archaeal small subunit ribosomal RNA
Source: RNAcentral